Myotis davidii is the source of this 74-nucleotide non-coding RNA. The record is from Rfam. Lineage: Eukaryota; Metazoa; Chordata; Mammalia; Chiroptera; Vespertilionidae.
UGCACCUCAAGUGACACACCUCAGAAUCGGGCUCCCUCCUCUCUGAUUCCGGGGUGCGUCACCCAAGAACCGCC